GCAAGUCGAGGGGUAACAGGAGUGCUUGCACUCUCUGACGCCCGGCGCACGCGUGCGUAACGCGUAUAGAACCUACCUUUUACUGAGGGAUAGACCAGAGAAAUUUGGAUUAAUACUUCAUGGUAUUAUCGAUUGGCAUCGAUUGAUAAUUAAAGAUUUAUUGGUAAGGGAUGGCUAUGCGUUCUAUUAGCUAGUUGGUAUGGUAACGGCAUACCAAGGCUACGAUAGAUAGGGGGCCUGAGAGGGAGAUC
Molecule: ribosomal RNA, 251 nt
Filed under: uncultured bacterium
Lineage: Bacteria
Description: partial 16S ribosomal RNA
Rfam family: Bacterial small subunit ribosomal RNA
Source: RNAcentral